UACGUAGGGUGCGAGCGUUGUCCGGAAUUAUUGGGCGUAAAGAGCUCGUAGGCGGUCUGUCGCGUCGAUCGUGAAAACUUGGGGCUUAACCCUGAGCUUGCGGUCGAUACGGGCAUGACUGGAGUUCGGCAGGGGAGACUGGAAUUCCUGGUGUAGCGGUGAAAUGCGCAGAUAUCGGGAGGAACAUCUGUGGCGAAGGCGGCCAUCUGGACCAGCACUGACACUGAGGCACGAAAGCGUGGGGAGCGAACGGG
Molecule: ribosomal RNA, 254 nt
Filed under: uncultured bacterium
Lineage: Bacteria
Description: partial 16S ribosomal RNA
Rfam family: Bacterial small subunit ribosomal RNA
Source: RNAcentral